CCUACGGGAGGCAGCAGUGAGGAAUAUUGGUCAAUGGACGAGAGUCUGAACCAGCCAAGUAGCGUGAAGGAUGACUGCCCUAUGGGUUGUAAACUUCUUUUAUAUGGGAAUAAAACGUUCCACGUGUGGGAUUUUGUAUGUACCAUAUGAAUAAGGAUCGGCUAACUCCGUGCCAGCAGCCGCGGUAAUACGGAGGAUCCGAGCGUUAUUCGGAUUUAUUGGGUUUAAAGGGAGCGUAGGUGGAUUGUUAAGUCAGUUGUGAAAGUUUGCGGCUCAACCGUAAAAUUGCAGUUGAAACUGGCAGUCUUGAGUACAGUAGAGGUGGGCGGAAUUCGUGGUGUAGCGGUGAAAUGCUUAGAUAUCACGAAGAACUCCGAUUGCGAAGGCAGUUCACUGGACUGCAACUGACACUGAGGCUCGAAAGUGUGGGUAUCAAACAGGAUUAGAUACCCUAGUAGUC
RNAcentral lists this ribosomal RNA (460 nucleotides) under uncultured bacterium. Its description in RNAcentral is "partial 16S ribosomal RNA". It matches the Rfam family "Bacterial small subunit ribosomal RNA", at positions 338 to 795 of the family's 1533-position model. The record is from RNAcentral.